Molecule: transfer RNA, 71 nt
Filed under: Dipodomys ordii (Ord's kangaroo rat)
Lineage: Eukaryota; Metazoa; Chordata; Mammalia; Rodentia; Heteromyidae
Rfam family: tRNA
About the family: Transfer RNA (tRNA) molecules are approximately 80 nucleotides in length. Their secondary structure includes four short double-helical elements and three loops (D, anti-codon, and T loops).
Source: Rfam by way of RNAcentral
GGAAAUGUGGCUCAGAGAUAGAGCUCUCACCUGACAAGUAUGAGACCCUGAGUUAAACCCCAGCACCACCA